This 1498-nucleotide ribosomal RNA is filed under the name uncultured bacterium. RNAcentral describes it as "bacterial SSU rRNA". It matches the Rfam family "Bacterial small subunit ribosomal RNA". The record is from RNAcentral.
AGAGUUUGAUCCUGGCUCAGAUUGAACGCUGGCGGCAGGCUUAACACAUGCAAGUCGAGCGGAGAGAGGUAGCUUGCUACUGAUCUUAGCGGCGGACGGGUGAGUAAUGCUUAGGAAUCUGCCUAUUAGUGGGGGACAACAUCUCGAAAGGGAUGCUAAUACCGCAUACGUCCUACGGGAGAAAGCAGGGGAUCUUCGGACCUUGCGCUAAUAGAUGAGCCUAAGUCGGAUUAGCUAGUUGGUGAGGUAGAGGCUCACCAAGGCGACGAUCAGUAGCUGGUCUGAGAGGACGACCAGCCACACUGGGACUGAGACACGGCCCAGACUCCUACGGGAGGCAGCAGUGGGGAAUUUUGGACAAUGGGCGCAAGCCUGAUCCAGCAAUGCCGCGUGAGUGAAGAAGGCCUUCGGGUUGUAAAGCUCUUUUGUCAGGGAAGAAACGGCUUGGGUUAAUACCUCGGGCUAAUGACGGUACCUGAAGAAUAAGCACCGGCUAACUACGUGCCAGCAGCCGCGGUAAUACAGAGGGUGCAAGCGUUAAUCGGAUUUACUGGGCGUAAAGCGCGCGUAGGCGGCUAAUUAAGUCAAAUGUGAAAUCCCCGAGCUUAACUUGGGAAUUGCAUUCGAUACUGGUUAGCUAGAGUGUGGGAGAGGAUGGUAGAAUUCCAGGUGUAGCGGUGAAAUGCGUAGAGAUCUGGAGGAAUACCGAUGGCGAAGGCAGCCAUCUGGCCUAACACUGACGCUGAGGUGCGAAAGCAUGGGGAGCAAACAGGAUUAGAUACCCUGGUAGUCCAUGCCGUAAACGAUGUCUACUAGCCGUUGGGGCCUUUGAGGCUUUAGUGGCGCAGCUAACGCGAUAAGUAGACCGCCUGGGGAGUACGGUCGCAAGACUAAAACUCAAAUGAAUUGACGGGGGCCCGCACAAGCGGUGGAGCAUGUGGUUUAAUUCGAUGCAACGCAAAGAACCUUACCUGGCCUUGACAUAGUAAGAACUUUCCAGAGAUGGAUUGGUGCCUUCGGGAACUUACAUACAGGUGCUGCAUGGCUGUCGUCAGCUCGUGUCGUGAGAUGUUGGGUUAAGUCCCGCAACGAGCGCAACCCUUUUCCUUAUUUGCCAGCGAGUAAUGUCGGGAACUUUAAGGAUACUGCCAGUGACAAACUGGAGGAAGGCGGGGACGACGUCAAGUCAUCAUGGCCCUUACGGCCAGGGCUACACACGUGCUACAAUGGUCGGUACAAAGGGUUGCUACACAGCGAUGUGAUGCUAAUCUCAAAAAGCCGAUCGUAGUCCGGAUUGGAGUCUGCAACUCGACUCCAUGAAGUCGGAAUCGCUAGUAAUCGCGGAUCAGAAUGCCGCGGUGAAUACGUUCCCGGGCCUUGUACACACCGCCCGUCACACCAUGGGAGUUUGUUGCACCAGAAGUAGCUAGCCUAACUGCAAAGAGGGCGGUUACCACGGUGUGGCCGAUGACUGGGGUGAAGUCGUAACAAGGUAACC